Molecule: ribosomal RNA, 513 nt
Filed under: uncultured bacterium
Lineage: Bacteria
Description: partial 16S ribosomal RNA
Rfam family: Bacterial small subunit ribosomal RNA
Source: RNAcentral
GAUGAACGCUGGCGGCGUGCCUAAUACAUGCAAGUCGAGCGAACAGACGAGGAGCUUGCUCCUCUGACGUUAGCGGCGGACGGGUGAGUAACACGUGGAUAACCUACCUAUAAGACUAGGAUAACUUCGGGAAACCGGAGCUAAUACCGGAUAAUAUAUUGAACCGCAUGGUUCAAUAGUGAAAGACGGUUUUGCUGUCACUUAUAGAUGGCUCCGCGCCGCAUUAGCUAGGUGGUAAGGUAACGGCUUACCAAGGCAACGAUGCGUAGCCGACCUGAGAGGGUGAUCGGCCACACUGGAACUGAGACACGGUCCAGACUCCUACGGGAGGCAGCAGUAGGGAAUCUUCCGCAAUGGGCGAAAGCCUGACGGAGCAACGCCGCGUGAGUGAUGAAGGUCUUCGGAUCGUAAAACGCUGUUAUUAGGGAAGAACAAAUGUGUAAGUAACUAUGCACGUCUUGACGGUACCUAAUCAGAAAGCCACGGCUAACUACGUGCCAGCAGCCGCCGCCG